UACGUAGGGUGCAAGCGUUGUCCGGAAUUAUUGGGCGUAAAGAGCUCGUAGGCGGUCUGUCACGUCGGCUGUGAAAACCCGAGGCUCAACCUCGGGCCUGCAGUCGAUACGGGCAAACUAGAGUACUGCAGGGGAGACUGGAAUUCCUGGUGUAGCGGUGAAAUGCGCAGAUAUCAGGAGGAACACCGGUGACGAAGGCGGGUCUCUGGACAGUAACUGACGCUGAGGAGCGAAAGCGUGGGGAGCGAACAGG
RNAcentral lists this ribosomal RNA (253 nucleotides) under uncultured bacterium. RNAcentral describes it as "partial 16S ribosomal RNA". It matches the Rfam family "Bacterial small subunit ribosomal RNA", at positions 524 to 776 of the family's 1533-position model. The record is from RNAcentral.